This is a long non-coding RNA of Bubalus bubalis (water buffalo), 693 nucleotides long. RefSeq lists it as uncharacterized. The record is from RefSeq and is a predicted model, not a curated record. The transcript is spliced from 3 exons. NCBI's taxonomy places the organism in Eukaryota, Metazoa, Chordata, Mammalia, Artiodactyla, Bovidae.
CAGCAAGGCAAUUAAGCACUUCAGAGGACCCUGCUCCCUCAACUGUUUGUAAAAACUCUUGCUGCGUUCGCUCCCCUCAUCUGUCUGCAACUACUGGUGACAGCCACAAUACACACCCGCUCUCUAGUUGUGGUGCCUGGGCUCCAGAGUGUGCAGGCUUCAGAGCACGUGGAAUCAGUAGUUGCUGCGAGCAUGCUUAGUUUCUUUGCAGUAUGUGGGAUCUUAGUUCCCUGACCAAGGAUUGAACCUGUGUCCCCUGCAUUGCAAGGUGGAUUCUUAACCGCUGGACCACCAGGGAAGUCCCUUUCUUUCUCUGUUGAUGGACCUUUGUUUUACUUCAGCAGAUGUGAAAUCUUUCUAUACACCACUCCCCCGGACGAUGAUGACUUCCGUUGUGUCUGGAACUCCAUGCUGUCCCAUGUUUCUGACCUUUAGUUUCUUCCUGUCUACUGUCAUCUCUGUGGUCCACAAUGGUGUGCAAGUCUCUCGUACCUGAAGACAAAUAAAGGAAGCUGCAGUCACCUCCAGAUGACCUUGUUUCUUCCACGCCAACACACAGAGUUGUGCUUCAUAAAUUUUACCUGCUUCCAAGUGUGAAUCCCCGCCCCCGUCUUCACUUUUUCAUUUCCAAAUAUCCCUCUAAUUUCUGAGUCCACUUAAAGGCAUCUUCUGCUCCAGCCACCGGCUAAAGCA